Rhineura floridana is the source of this 1193-nucleotide long non-coding RNA. RefSeq lists it as uncharacterized. The record is from RefSeq and is a predicted model, not a curated record. NCBI's taxonomy places the organism in Eukaryota, Metazoa, Chordata, Lepidosauria, Squamata, Rhineuridae. The transcript is spliced from 6 exons.
CCAGUGGUGCCUGGGAAAGGUCUCUAAAUAUCCCCUCAAAACUCCACAAUGCACAAGGGAUUGCUUGGCCUUCCUGCUCAAUUCCUGUUUGCACUGGCUUGGCUUCUACAUUGAACAUGCCUCCUUUAAACAUCUCCAGAUUUCAUUGGAUGCCAGGAUUGGACACUUACCCUCCCAUCCAGUCUGAACAGAGGAGAGAUGCUAAGAGUUUCUCUGAGUGAGUGCAGUGGUGGCAGAUGUAAACAGGAUUAGUCUGACACCUAGGGCAUGACAAGUAUGAGAUGCAAGUUUAGAUCCUAACUUGGAGGUCUUCAGCUCUGUGAGGAUGAAGAUGGCCGCGGAGCUGUGAGGCUCUGACAAACGCAGCUCCACAGAAUUCAUUUAAAAACUCUCUAGACGUCUGACUAAGAAAGCAAUUCCAUUGAGAUAUGAGAACUCAAGAAAUGAAGAGGUGUGGUAUAUGUCAGAGAAUGUCUCUGAACAUUACAAUAAGCUGUACUAUGCAUUAUUUGCUCAGUUAUGCAUUUCCUCUGGAGUUGGCAGCCCUGUGAACUACAAUGGUAGCGGUUGUAUGGAACGUAUGAGCCUGGGUAUAUAAAGGGAAGGGGCUGCCUGAGGCAGCACCUCAGCAUGCACCUCAGCGUCAUGCAAAGUGUGGCACUAAGUGUGCACUUUUCGUCACACUUGGAGCCAUUUUGGGGUCUGGAAUCCAUCACCCACCAAGAAAAAUCCAGCUGCAAGUGUUGAAAAGAGAAGGCAAACCAACCUCAUGAGAGACAAAGGAAGUGUCAUUGCCUAUAGAAAAGUGGUUUCUAUACCCCCAGGGUGAGAGCUUGGUGGACAUAGUUUCUGCGCCCUUAAGUGAAAGACAAGGGGGAGUGUUUGGUAUGAGAGUUUGGUAUGAAUGUUCUACUUAGAAUAAUAUGUGUGUGCAUUAUUUGGUUGUAUGUAGAUUUGAGUGGUUGUCAUGGUGAUGUUAUGGUAUGUAUAUGUGAGUAUGCUACUUUUAGGACAUGAGGUUGAAUUAUGUGAGUGCUUGUAGAGUGUGAUUUGAGGUAAGUGUGAGUGUGUUGGUUUAGAAUGUUGAUAUAUUUAAAUAUGAAUGUGCUGAUUUUGUAAGGGUGUGUUUGAGUAAACUAAAUUAUUUUUUUUCUUUUCCCAACGAUAGUAAGACAAAAUUCUCUUAUAAUGGG